GCUAGUGAUGCUUAACUAAAGCAUAACAC
RNAcentral lists this transfer RNA (29 nucleotides) under Polyodon spathula (Mississippi paddlefish). RNAcentral describes it as "partial tRNA-Phe". Lineage: Eukaryota; Metazoa; Chordata; Actinopteri; Acipenseriformes; Polyodontidae. The record is from RNAcentral.